Molecule: ribosomal RNA, 780 nt
Filed under: uncultured marine bacterium
Lineage: Bacteria
Description: bacterial SSU rRNA
Rfam family: Bacterial small subunit ribosomal RNA
Source: RNAcentral
AUGCAAGUCGAGCGAAGUAGUUUACUACUUAGCGGCGAACGGGUGAGUAAUACUUGGAUAACCUGCCUUAAGGUCUGGGACAACUACAGGAAACUGUAGCUAAUACCGGAUAUGACCACACUUACUAAGGUAAGAGUGGUAAAAGAUUUAUCGCCUUUAGAUGGGUCCAAGUCGCAUCAGGUUGUUGGUGGGGUAAUGGCCUACCAAGCCUAUGACGCGUAGCAGGUCUUAGCGGAUGAUCUGCCACAUGGGGACUGAGAUACGGCCCUGACUCCUACGGGAGGAAGCAGUGAGGAAUAUUGGGCAAUGGACGCAAGUCUGACCCAGCGAUGCCGCGUGAAGGAUGAAGGCCUUAGGGUUGUAAACUUCUGUCAGCAGGGAAGAUAAUGACGGUACCUGCAGAGGAAGCCCCGGCUAACUCCGUGCCAGCAGCCGCGGUAAUACGGAGGGGGCAAACGUUACUCGGAUUUACUGGGCGUAAAGGGUCCGUAGGCGGUUCUUUAAGUUAGAUGUGAAAGCUUGAAGCUUAACUUCAAAAUUGCAUCUAAAACUGGAGAACUAGGUUCUUGGAGAGGUUGAUGGAAUUACCGGUGUAGCGGUGAAAUGCGUAGAUAUCGGUAGGAACACCAGUGGCGAAAGCGAUCAACUGGCCAAGUAACGACGCUGGGGGACGAAAGCGUGGGUAGCAAACAGGAUUAGAUACCCUGGUAGUCCACGCCCUAAACGAUGAAUACUAGAUGUAGGAUUUAAUUCUGUAUCGUAGCUAACGCAUUAAGUAUU